RNAcentral lists this ribosomal RNA (490 nucleotides) under uncultured Enterobacteriaceae bacterium. RNAcentral describes it as "bacterial SSU rRNA". It matches the Rfam family "Bacterial small subunit ribosomal RNA", at positions 29 to 508 of the family's 1533-position model. The record is from RNAcentral. Lineage: Bacteria; Pseudomonadati; Pseudomonadota; Gammaproteobacteria; Enterobacterales; Enterobacteriaceae.
UUGAACGCUGGCGGCAGGCCUAACACAUGCAAGUCGAACGGUAACAGGAAGCAGCUUGCUGCUUUGCUGACGAGUGGCGGACGGGUGAGUAAAGUCUGGGAAACUGCCCGGAGGAGGGGGAUAACCACUGGAAACGGUGGCUAAGACCGCAUAAAGUCGGAAGACCAAAGUGGGGGACCGCAAGGCCUCACGCCUCCGGAUGUGCCCAGAUGGGAUUAGCCAGCAGGUGAGGUAAUGGCUCACCUGGGCGACGAUCCCUAGCUGGUCUGAGAGGAUGACCAGCCACACUGGAACUGAGACACGGUCCAGACUCCUGCGGGAGGCAGCAGUGGGGAAUAUUGCACAAUGGGGGAAACCCUGAUGCAGCCAUGCCGCGUGUAUGAAGAAGGCCUUCGGGUUGUAAAGUACUUUCAGCGGGGAGGAAGGAUGGAAGUUUAAUACGCUUUCAUUUUGACGUUAUCCGCAGAAGAAGCACCGGCAAACUCCGUGC